CGUGGGCAACCUGCCCUGCAGACUGGGAUAACUCCGGGAAACCGGAGCUAAUACCGGGUAAUACAUCGCACCGCAUGGUGCAAUGUUGAAAGUUGGCUUUCGAGCUAACACUGCAGGAUGGGCCCGCGGCGCAUUAGCUAGUUGGUAAGGUAAUGGCUUACCAAGGCGACGAUGCGUAGCCGACCUGAGAGGGUGAUCGGCCACACUGGGACUGAGACACGGCCCAGACUCCUACGGGAGGCAGCAGUAGGGAAUCUUCCGCAAUGGACGAAAGUCUGACGGAGCAACGCCGCGUGAGUGACGAAGGCCUUCGGGUCGUAAAGCUCUGUUGUUAGGGAAGAACAAGUACCGUUCGAAUAGGGCGGUACCUUGACGGUACCUAACCAGAAAGCCACGGCUAACUACGUGCCAGCAGCCGCGGUAAUACGUAGGUGGCAAGCGUUGUCCGGAAUUAUUGGGCGUAAAGCGCGCGCAGGCGGUCUUUUAAGUCUGAUGUGAAAGCCCACGGCUCAACCGUGGAGGGUCAUUGGAAACUGGAGGACUUGAGUACAGAAGAGGAGAGUGGAAUUCCACGUGUAGCGGUGAAAUGCGUAGAUAUGUGGAGGAACACCAGUGGCGAAGGCGGCUCUCUGGUCUGUAAC
RNAcentral lists this ribosomal RNA (641 nucleotides) under Bacillus sp. H-S2-12. Its description in RNAcentral is "bacterial SSU rRNA". It matches the Rfam family "Bacterial small subunit ribosomal RNA", at positions 116 to 740 of the family's 1533-position model. The record is from RNAcentral. Lineage: Bacteria; Bacillati; Bacillota; Bacilli; Caryophanales; Bacillaceae.